Xiphophorus maculatus (southern platyfish) is the source of this 817-nucleotide long non-coding RNA. RefSeq lists it as uncharacterized. NCBI's taxonomy places the organism in Eukaryota, Metazoa, Chordata, Actinopteri, Cyprinodontiformes, Poeciliidae. The transcript is spliced from 3 exons. The record is from RefSeq and is a predicted model, not a curated record.
ACCAUUAGGUUGUCCUGCUGCUCUAAAUUGGCAUUGCUGCAGGAUAUUUGACAUCAAUGGAAGUACUUGGUCUCACUUGUGGUUAUCCCACGGAGAUGGAACUGGGCUUGCACAUGCUGGAACCAUGGUUCUGGAUCGUACUGCCAGAACUCUGGAAGCUUGACAAGGACAGCAAAAACAGUUUGGAGUAACGGCCGCCUGGCAAGAAACUGGGUCCGAAACCACAGCUGGUGGAGAAGCAGCGGCAGCCUCUGGAGAGAAUGAGGGGCCCCUAGAUGCCUGUCAGUGUGGUCCCUGGGAGGAGCUGGCUACAGGGUGCCUAGCUGGAGGCUUGGGCAGAGCUUGUUCAAAGUUCCAGGCCAAGUCCACAGUUUCGGAAAAGUUACAUACUGCAGCUUUAAGUUCACACUUAAACCAACUUCAUAGUUAAUGCCAGCAUCAACUGAUUCUAUGAUAUUACUGACUAUUUUUUCUACUUCUAACAUAAACAGGCAAUUAAGUCACUCAGAAAUGUUUUUUCACUCCGGUCCCAAUCAUCAUCAGUUCUGAUGAUGUCACAUACAUAGCGAGUCCACAACAUCCUGAAAUUGUUUCUGUAAAGUGCAGUGAAUGGGAAUGUUCUGUUGUUGAUCCUCACUGUUCAUAGGAAGGAGAAAUGUCAGUUUGUCUGCAGUAACACUGGAAUACUGUGACGUUGUAUUAAAACAAUAUUCUGUCCUUGGUGAAACAUUUUUCACAUUUCCUCUAAAAUGUGUCUAUUGUACUAAUUUUCAUAAGCAUUUUGUCUGUAAACUUUGAGUAUAUUUGUCAGUUUGUA